AUUGAACGCUGGCGGCAGGCCUAACACAUGCAAGUCGAACGGUAGCACAGAGAGCUUGCUCUCGGGUGACGAGUGGCGGGCGGGUGAGUAAUGUCUGGGAAACUGCCCGAUGGAGGGGGAUAACUACUGGAAACGGUAGCUAAUACCGCAUAACGUCGCAAGACCAAAGUGGGGGAACUUCGGGCCUCACACCAUCGGAUGUGCCCAGAUGGGAUUAGCGAGUAGGUGGGGUAAUGGCUCACCUAGGCGACGAUCCCUAGCUGGUCUGAGAGGAUGACCAGCCAGGCUGGAGCUGAGAGACGGUCCAGCCUCCAACGGGAGGCAGCAGGGGGGAAUAUUGCACAAUGGGCGCAAGCCUGAUGCAGCCAUGCCGCGUGUAUGAAGAAGGCCUUCGGGUUGUAAAGUACUUUCAGCGGGGAGGAAGGCGGUGAAGUUAAUAGCUUCACCGAUUGACGUUACCCGCAGAAGAAGCACCGGCUAACUCCGUGCCAGCAGCCGCCGUAA
RNAcentral lists this ribosomal RNA (504 nucleotides) under uncultured bacterium. RNAcentral's name for it is "partial 16S ribosomal RNA". It matches the Rfam family "Bacterial small subunit ribosomal RNA", at positions 29 to 523 of the family's 1533-position model. The record is from RNAcentral.